RNAcentral lists this ribosomal RNA (450 nucleotides) under uncultured bacterium. RNAcentral's name for it is "partial 16S ribosomal RNA". It matches the Rfam family "Bacterial small subunit ribosomal RNA", at positions 338 to 795 of the family's 1533-position model. The record is from RNAcentral.
CCUACGGGGGGCUGCAGUUAAGAAUCUUGCGCAAUGGGCGCAAGCCUGACGCAGCGACGCCGCGUGGACGAUGAAGGCCUUCGGGUUGUAAAGUCCGUUAAGCAGGGAAGAAUAAGUUUCGAUUAAUACUCGGAACGAUGACGGUACCUGCCUAAAGCCCCGGCUAACUACGUGCCAGCAGCCGCGGUAAUACGUAUGGGGCGAGCGUUGUUCGGAAUAAUUGGGCGUAAAGGGGAACUAGGCGGGGAGUGAAAGCCAUGGGCUCAACCCAUGAAUUGCAUCUAAAACUGGUGUUCUUGAGUUCGGGAGAGGAGAGCGGAAUUCCUGGUGUAGCGGUGAAAUGCGUAGAUAUCAGGAAGAACACCUGUGGCGAAGGCGGCUCUCUGGCCCAGAACUGACGCUGAAGCGCGAAAGCGUGGGGAGCGAACGGGAUUAGAUACCCUGGUAGUC